AGAGUUUGAUCCCAGCUCAGGAUGAACGCUAGCGGUGCGCCUAACACAUGUAAGUCGUGCGAUCGAGCCGAACUGAGUCUCCUUCGGGAGGCGAUGAUUGGUGACGGAGCGGCGGACGGGUGAGUAACGCGUGGCUAACCUACCCUCUUGACGGGGACAACCACUCGAAAGGGUGGCUAAUACCCGAUAUUGAUUGGAACCGAUGGGUUCCUCUCCAAAGGCGGUCCUGCCGCCGCGAGGGGAUGGGGCUGCGUCCUAUUAGCUAGUUGGUGAGGUAACGGCUCACCAAGGCUUCGAUGGGUAGCUGGUCUGAGAGGACGGCCAGCCACAUUGGGACUGAGAUACGGCCCAGACUCCUACGGGAGGCAGCAGUGGGGAAUCUUGGCCAAUGGACGAAAGUCUGAGCCAGCGACACCGCGUGGGGGAUGACGGCCUUCGGGUUGUAAACCCCUUUUCUGGGGAAAGAAUAAGGACGGGAGGAAAUGCCCGCCCGAUGACGGUACUCCAGGAAUAAGCAUCGGCUAACUCUGUGCCAGCAGCCGCGGUAAGACAGAGGAUGCGAGCGUUAUCCGGAAUUACUGGGCGUAAAGGGCGUCUAGGCGGUUCGGUAAGUCGUUUGUGAAAUCCCUUGGCUCAACCGAGGAGAGUCUUGCGAUACUGCCGGGCUUGGGUGUAGGAGAGGAGGGUGGAACUCACAGAGUAGCGGUGGAAUGCGUAGAUACUGUGAGGUACCCCGAUGGCGAAGGCAACCCUCUGGCCUACUACCGACGCUGAAGCGCGAAAGCGUGGGGAGCAAAGGGGAUUAGAUACCCCCGUAGUCCACGCCCUAAACAAUGUUCACUUGGUGUCGGCCGCUUAUACUGGUCGGUGCCGAAGCUAACGCGUUAAGUGAACCGCCUGAGGAGUACGGCCGCAAGGCUAAAACUCAAGAGAAUUGACGGGUCCCUGCACAAGCGGUGGAGCACGUGGUUUAAUUCGAUGAUAAACGAAGAACCUCACCCAGGCUUGACAUACUAGUGGUAGAAACCUGAAAGGGGGCCGACCCUGCCUUCGGGUAGGGAGCUAGUACAGGUGAUGCAUGGCUCGUCAGCUCGUGUCGUGGGAUGUUGGGUUCAGUCCCGAAACGAGCGCAACCCUUGUCGUUAGUUGCCAGCGGGUAAUGCCGGGGACUCUAACGAGACUGCUGGUGAAUAGCCGGAGGAAGGCGGGGAUGACGUCAAGUCAUCAUGUCCCUUAUGCCUGGGGCGACACACAUGCUACAAUGGGGGGUACAAAGGGUCGCAAUCCCGUAAGGGGGAGCCAAUCCAUAAAAACCCCUCUCAGUUCGGAUUGAGGUCUGCAACUCGACCUCAUGAAGCCGGAAUCGCUAGUAAUCGCGGGUCAGCCAUACCGCGGUGAAUAUGUACUCAGGGAUUGUACACACCGCCCGUCACACCAACCGAGUGGGGGGUACCUGAAGUCGCUCUUCUAAGGGCGCCUAGGGUAACUUCCGCAAGAGGGGUGAAGUCGUAACAAGGUA
RNAcentral lists this ribosomal RNA (1519 nucleotides) under metagenome. RNAcentral describes it as "bacterial SSU rRNA". It matches the Rfam family "Bacterial small subunit ribosomal RNA". The record is from RNAcentral.